GACGUAGGGGGCCAGCGUUGUUCGGAAUUACUGGGCGUAAAGGGCUCGUAGGCGGCCAACUAAGUCGGAUGUGAAAUCCCCAGGCUUAACCUGGGAACUGCAUCCGAUACUGGAUGGCUUGAAUCCGGGAGAGGGAUGCAGAAUUCCAGGUGUAGCGGUGAAAUGCGUAGAGAUCAGGAAGAACAUCGGUGGCGAAGGCGCUCUGCUGGACCAUAACUGACACUCAGGGACGAAAGCUAGGGGAGCGAAUGGG
RNAcentral lists this ribosomal RNA (253 nucleotides) under uncultured bacterium. RNAcentral describes it as "partial 16S ribosomal RNA". It matches the Rfam family "Bacterial small subunit ribosomal RNA", at positions 524 to 776 of the family's 1533-position model. The record is from RNAcentral.